RNAcentral lists this unclassified non-coding RNA (315 nucleotides) under plant metagenome. RNAcentral's name for it is "partial contains 5.8S ribosomal RNA, internal transcribed spacer 2, and large subunit ribosomal RNA". The stretch from base 1 to 105 matches the Rfam family "5.8S ribosomal RNA", at positions 50 to 154 of the family's 154-position model. The record is from RNAcentral.
GAAAUGCGAUAAGUAAUGUGAAUUGCAGAAUUCAGUGAAUCAUCGAGUCUUUGAACGCACAUUGCGCCCCCUGGCAUUCCGGGGGGCAUGCCUGUCCGAGCGUCAUUGCUGCCCUUCAAGCCCGGCUUGUGUGUUGGGUCGUCGUCCCCUCCGGGGGACGGGCCCGAAAGGCAGCGGCGGCACCGCGUCCGGUCCUCGAGCGUAUGGGGCUUUGUCACCCGCUCGAUAAGGACCGGCCGGGCGCCAGCCGGCGCCUCCAACCUUUUUUUCUCAGGUUGACCUCGGAUCAGGUAGGGAUACCCGCUGAACUUAAGC